CUCAGGAUGAACGCUGGCGGCGUGCCUAAUACAUGCAAGUCGAGCGAACAGAUAAGGAGCUUGCUCCUUUGACGUUAGCGGCGGACGGGUGAGUAACACGUGGAUAACCUACCUAUAAGACUGGGAUAACUUCGGGAAACCGGAGCUAAUACCGGAUAAGAUUUUGAACCGCAUGGUUCAAUAGUGAAAGACGGCCUUGCUGUCACUUAUAGAUGGAUCCGCGCCGUAUUAGCUAGUUGGUAAGGUAACGGCUUACCAAGGCAACGAUACGUAGCCGACCUGAGAGGGUGAUCGGCCACACUGGAACUGAGACACGGUCCAGACUCCUACGGGAGGCAGCAGUAGGGAAUCUUCCGCAAUGGGCGAAAGCCUGACGGAGCAACGCCGCGUGAGUGAUGAAGGUCUUCGGAUCGUAAAACUCUGUUAUCAGGGAAGAACAAACGUGUAAGUAACUGUGCACGUCUUGACGGUACCUGAUCAGAAAGCCACGGCUAACUACGUGCCAGCAGCCGCGGUAAUACGUAGGUGGCAAGCGUUAUCCGGAAUUAUUGGGCGUAAAGCGCGCGUAGGCGGUUUUUUAAGUCUGAUGUGAAAGCCCACGGCUCAACCGUGGAGGGUCAUUGGAAACUGGAAAACUUGAGUGCAGAAGAGGAAAGUGGAAUUCCAUGUGUAGCGGUGAAAUGCGCAGAGAUAUGGAGGAACACCAGUGGCGAAGGCGACUUUCUGGUCUGUAACUGACGCUGAUGUGCGAAAGCGUGGGGAUCAAACAGGAUUA
RNAcentral lists this ribosomal RNA (775 nucleotides) under Staphylococcus pasteuri. Its description in RNAcentral is "bacterial SSU rRNA". It matches the Rfam family "Bacterial small subunit ribosomal RNA", at positions 23 to 780 of the family's 1533-position model. The record is from RNAcentral. Lineage: Bacteria; Bacillati; Bacillota; Bacilli; Caryophanales; Staphylococcaceae.